Molecule: ribosomal RNA, 580 nt
Filed under: Cryptococcus sp. NH 3.17
Lineage: Eukaryota; Fungi; Basidiomycota; Tremellomycetes; Tremellales; Cryptococcaceae
Description: eukaryotic LSU rRNA
Rfam family: Eukaryotic large subunit ribosomal RNA
Source: RNAcentral
AAGCCAAUUGUAAUCUGGCUGCNACGUNGUCGAGUGUAAUCUAGAGAGGCGUUUCCGUGCCGGUCCGUGUCCAAGUCCCUUGGAACAGGGUAUCAAAGAGGGUAGACAAUCCCGUACUUGACACGACCACCGGUGCUCUGUGAUACGUCUUCGACGAGUCGAGUUGUUUGGGAAUGCAGCUAAAACGGGUGGUAAAUUCCAUCUAAAGCUAAAUAUUGGCGAGAGACCGAUAGCGAACAAGUACCGUGAGGGAAAGAUGAAAAGCACUUUGGAAAGAGAGUUAAACAGUAUGUGAAAUUGUUAAAAUGGGAAACGAUUGAAGUCAGUCGUGUUCAUUGGAUUCAGCCGGUUCUGCCGGUCUACUUCCUUUGAACGGGUCAACAUCAGUUUUGAUCGGUGGAUAAAUUCGGGAGGAAGGUAGGCAUCCUCGGAUGUGUUAUAGUCCUCCCGUUGCAUACGCUGGUCGAGACUGAGGAACGCAGCUCGCCUUUAUGGCCGGGGUUCGCCCACGUCCGAGCUUAGGAUGUUUGAACUAUUAAUUGGGCUUAUAAAAGCGAAACCCCGGUCUUGAAACACGGGG